Phrynosoma platyrhinos (Desert horned lizard) is the source of this 72-nucleotide non-coding RNA. The record is from the annotation of a GenBank genome assembly. Lineage: Eukaryota; Metazoa; Chordata; Lepidosauria; Squamata; Phrynosomatidae.
GCCAGUGUGGUGUAGUGGUUUGUGUACUGGACUGUGAUUCUGGAAACCAGGGUUCAAAUCCCUAUUUAGCCA